Molecule: ribosomal RNA, 231 nt
Filed under: uncultured bacterium
Lineage: Bacteria
Description: partial 16S ribosomal RNA
Rfam family: Bacterial small subunit ribosomal RNA
Source: RNAcentral
CGGACGGGUGAGUAACGCGUAGGAAUCUACCCAGUAUGGGGGACAACAUGGUGAAGACCAUGCUAAUACCGCAUACGCCCUAUGGGGGAAAGCGGGGGACCUUCGGGCCUCGCGCUAUUGGAUGAGCCUGCGUCGGAUUAGCUUGUUGGUGAGGUAAAAGCUCACCAAGGCGACGAUCCGUAGCUGGUCUGAGAGGAUGAUCAGCCACACUGGAACUGAGACACGGUCCAG